RNAcentral lists this ribosomal RNA (259 nucleotides) under uncultured bacterium. Its description in RNAcentral is "partial 16S ribosomal RNA". It matches the Rfam family "Bacterial small subunit ribosomal RNA", at positions 526 to 779 of the family's 1533-position model. The record is from RNAcentral.
CGGAGGGGGCUAGCGUUGUUCGGAAUUACUGGGGCGUAAAAGCGCACGUAGGCGGACCAGCAAGUUAGGGGGUGAAAUCCCGGGGGCUCAACCCCGGAACUGCCCCUUAAAACUGCUGAUCUGGAGUUCGAGAGAGGUGAGUGGAAUUCCGAGUGUAGAGGUGAAAUUCGUAGAUAUUCGGAGGAACACCAGUGGCGAAGGCGGCUCACUGGCUCGAUACUGACGCUGAGGUGCGAAAGCGUGGGGAGCAAACAGGAUU